GCUGUUAAGGGUUCGUAGUUGAAUUGGGGGCUGUCAAGGAAACGACAAAGUCCUUUCCUCCGGGUUGUGACCGUCGCUCUUGCAGCUCGAGAACAUCAGAAACGACACCGCGGGAUUGGACCUUCCAACUUACGCGUGCAAUGCACGCAGGGAGGCGCCCGCGAUAUUUACUGUGACAAAGAAGUGUGACCAAAGCAGUCAAACGACAUGAAUUAGAAAGCAUGGGAUAACAAAGGGCAGCCUACGGAUUACCGUUUCGGCUUUUGUUGGUUUUAAAGGUCUGUGGGAGACUAUGGCACGUGUGAACAGCGCAGGAUACGUCCUCGCCCUCUACUUUCUUCGCUUGCGGAGUUGGUCAGACGCACGCCGUCCAGGAAUGAAGGAGGGUUGUUCGGGGGAGAACGUACUUGAACGUGGAGGUGAAAUUCUUAGACCGUUCAAAGACGAACUACAGCGAAGGCAUUCUCCAAGGUACCUUCCUCAAUCAAGAACCGAAGUGUGGAGAUCGAAGAUGAUUAGAUACCAUUGUAGUCC
This 534-nucleotide ribosomal RNA is filed under the name uncultured kinetoplastid. RNAcentral describes it as "bacterial SSU rRNA". It matches the Rfam family "Eukaryotic small subunit ribosomal RNA", at positions 615 to 1026 of the family's 1831-position model. The record is from RNAcentral. Lineage: Eukaryota; Euglenozoa; Kinetoplastea.